GAUCCUGGGCUCAGGAUGAACGCUGGCGGCGUGCCUAAUACAUGCAAGUCGAACGCUUCACUUCGGUGAAGAGUGGCGAACGGGUGAGUAUACAUAAGUAACCUGGCAUCUACAGGGGGGGAUAACUGAUGGAAACGUCAGCUAAGACCGCAUAGGUGUAGAGAUCGCAUGAACUCUAUAUGAAAAGUGCUACGGGACUGGUAGAUGAUGGACUUAUGGCGCAUUAG
This 227-nucleotide ribosomal RNA is filed under the name uncultured bacterium. RNAcentral describes it as "partial 16S ribosomal RNA". It matches the Rfam family "Bacterial small subunit ribosomal RNA", at positions 15 to 244 of the family's 1533-position model. The record is from RNAcentral.